AGGACGAACGCUGGCGGCGUGCUUAACACAUGCAAGUCGAACGGAAAGGCCCGCUUGCGGGUACUCGAGUGGCGAACGGGUGAGUAACACGUGGGCAACCUGCCCUCAGCUUCGGGAUAACACUUGGAAACAGGUGCUAAUACCGGAUAAUAACCUUUCAUCGCAUGGUGGUUGGUUCAAAGUUUUUCGGCUGAGGAUGGGCCCGCGGCCUAUCAGCUUGUUGGUGGGGUAAUGGCCUACCAAGGCGACGACGGGUAGCCGGCCUGAGAGGGCGACCGGCCACACUGGGACUGAGACACGGCCCAGACUCCUACGGGAGGCAGCAGUGGGGAAUAUUGCGCAAUGGGCGGAAGCCUGACGCAGCGACGCCGCGUGAGGGAUGGACGGCCUUCGGGUUGUAAACCUCUUUCAGCUCUGACGAAGCGUAAGUGACGGUAGGAGCAGAAGAAGCACCGGCCAACUACGUGCCAGCAGCCGCGGUAA
Molecule: ribosomal RNA, 483 nt
Filed under: uncultured bacterium
Lineage: Bacteria
Description: SSU rRNA
Rfam family: Bacterial small subunit ribosomal RNA
Source: RNAcentral